This 494-nucleotide ribosomal RNA is filed under the name uncultured bacterium. Its description in RNAcentral is "partial 16S ribosomal RNA". It matches the Rfam family "Bacterial small subunit ribosomal RNA", at positions 28 to 507 of the family's 1533-position model. The record is from RNAcentral.
GACGAACGCUGGCGGCGUGCUUAACACAUGCAAGUCGAACGGAAAGGCCUGCUUUCCCUUGUGGAUUGCGGGUACUCGAGUGGCGAACGGGUGAGUAACACGUGAGUGAUCUGCCCCCAACUUGGGUAUAAGCCUGGGAAACUGGGUCUAAUUCCCGAUAGUACUGCAGGGUGGUGCCUGUGGUGGAAAACGAUUUUCUAGUGGUUGGGGAUGAGCUCGCGGCCUAUCAGCUUGUUGGUGGGGUAAUGGCCUACCAAGGCGGCGACGGGUAGCCGGCCUGAGAGGGGGGACGGCCACAUUGGGACUGAGUUAAGGCCCAGACUCCUACGGGAGGCAGCAGUGGGGAAUAUUGCACAAUGGGCGGAAGCCUGAUGCAGCGACGCCGCGUGGGGGAUGACGGCCUUCGGGUUGUAAACUCCUUUCGACCGCGAGGAAGCCACCUGGUUGGAAGGGUGGUGACGGUAGUGGUAGAAGAAGCACCGGCUAACUACGUG